CUACCCUUGACAUCCUGCGAAUCCCGAUGAGAGUUGGGAGUGCCGAAAGGAGCGCAGAGACAGGUGCUGCAUGGCUGUCGUCAGCUCGUGUUGUGAGAUGUUGGGUUAAGUCCCGUAACGAGCGCAACCCUUGUUCUUAGUUGCCAGCGAGUAAAAUCGGGGACUCUAAGAAGACUGCCGGUGAUGAACCGGAGGAAGGCGGGGACGACGUCAAGUCAUCAUGGCCUUUAUGGGUAGGGCUACACACGUGCUACAAUGGGGCGUACAGAGGGUCGCGAACCCGCGAGGGGGAGCCAAUCUCGAAAAGCGUCUCGUAGUCCGGAUUGGAGUCUGCAACUCGACUCCAUGAAGUUGGAAUCGCUAGUAAUCGCGAAUCAGCAUUGUCGCGGUGAAUACGUUCCC
RNAcentral lists this ribosomal RNA (402 nucleotides) under uncultured bacterium. RNAcentral describes it as "bacterial SSU rRNA". It matches the Rfam family "Bacterial small subunit ribosomal RNA", at positions 975 to 1375 of the family's 1533-position model. The record is from RNAcentral.